Molecule: non-coding RNA, 67 nt
Filed under: Escherichia albertii TW07627
Lineage: Bacteria; Pseudomonadati; Pseudomonadota; Gammaproteobacteria; Enterobacterales; Enterobacteriaceae
Description: int-alpA RNA
Rfam family: int-alpA RNA
About the family: Acidobacteria (1 example), Planctomycetes (1 example), Proteobacteria. Environment (Lake Washington)
Source: Rfam by way of RNAcentral
ACCGGGGAUAGCGCGACGGCGCGAAAAGCGGGAAACCUUACCGCCUGCCCCGGUUUAUUUUUAAGGU